This 253-nucleotide ribosomal RNA is filed under the name uncultured bacterium. RNAcentral describes it as "partial 16S ribosomal RNA". It matches the Rfam family "Bacterial small subunit ribosomal RNA", at positions 524 to 776 of the family's 1533-position model. The record is from RNAcentral.
UACGGAGGUUCCUAGCGUUGUUCGGAAUUACUGGGCGUAAAGGGAGCGCAGGCGGGUCGAUAAGUCUAAAGUGGAAUCCCGGGGCUCAACCUCGGACGUGCUUUGGAUACUAUCGGUCUUGAGUUCGUGAGAGGAAGGCGGAAUUCAGGGUGUAGCGGUGAAAUGCUUAGAUAUCCUGAGGAACACCAGUGGCGAAAGCGGCCUUCUGGCACGAAACUGACGCUGAGGCUCGAAAGCGUGGGUAGCGAACGGG